Solanum pennellii is the source of this 1978-nucleotide long non-coding RNA. RefSeq lists it as uncharacterized. The record is from RefSeq and is a predicted model, not a curated record. The transcript has 2 exons. Lineage: Eukaryota; Viridiplantae; Streptophyta; Magnoliopsida; Solanales; Solanaceae.
AUUCGAUAUUAGAAGGUCAUUUUAGCUAAUUCUGUUAUAACUAACUAUCAAAAAGUUAGUUACAAGAUUAGUUACAAAGUGUGUGAUUGUGAACUAUAAAUAGAUGAUCUCUACUGAUGUAUUACUUAGCCUUUGAUCUCAAAUCAAUGGAACUUCUUUUCUUUUCAAUUUCCUGCUAAAGCUUUACAGUUUAUUUUAUGGUACUAGAGCCAUACAAAGUGUUUAACUGUGACAAGCGAUUUGAUUUGAAGAAGCAGAGGAUUGUGUUUGUUGAUUUGCAGAAGCAGUAGCUGCAGAUCUAGAUACAAGUGAUUCACAAUUCCAUAGUUGAUUAGGUUGAGUUUUGUAAUUUUCCGCAACAAAGUGUUGUCGAAUUUUCAGUUAUAAUGCCAAGUGAUAGAUCAACUAAGGAUCAGUCUCAAGGUCGUAACAAUGGUGAAAAUAUAGGUGGAUCUAUGUCCGAGUUCAAGCAUCAGUCAAAGUAUUGAUUACAAUUGCCCUCUUUUUCUUAGCCCUACUAAUAUAAGUGGAGUUAGCUGAUUUCAUUUCAAUUACUGGGAGUGGAAAACUACACUUUAUGGAGUAGAUCUAUGACUCUUGCUAUAUUAGGAAGAAACAAAAUAGGGCUAAUUGAUGGAUCAUGUAGAAAAUAAUUGCAUACUGAAGGUUUGUGGGGGCAAUGGGAGAGGGUUAAUGCAAUUGUAUUAUCCUGGCUAAUGAAUUCAGUUUCUAAGAGUCUUCUCAGUGGUAUACAAUUAUGGAACGACUUAAAAGAAAGGUUUGACAUGGUAGAUGGGUCAAGGACCUAUAGUCUGCAUAAGAUAUGCAUCUCUGCAACAUGGCAAUCCUCAGUGUCUGUGCAUUAUACUAAUCUCAAAACCUUGUGGGAUGAGUUUGAAGCUUUAGAGCCUCCUCCCUGCUGUAAUUGUGAUAAGGCAAGGGGUUUUGUAGCUCACAUGAGCAGGCAGAAACUCUAUCAGUUUUUUAUGGGACUUAAUAAAUCCUAUCAUCAAGCUAGAAGCCAAAUUCUAAUGAUGGAUCCAUUGACUACCAUUAAUCGUGCAUAUGCCAUGAUAGUAGGGGAUGAAAGUCAAAAAUCAGUGGUGUCUCACACCAGCAGUAUGGGACUGAGUUCACUAAGUAUGGAAUCUAUGGCCAUGUACUCUAAAACUGUCUCUAUUCAAGUGUUAACCAGAUGUUCAAGAAGAAUUCAAUGAUGAUUUGUGACUUAUGUAAGUGUAAAGGUCACAAUAAAGAAUUUUUCUAUAGGGUAGUUGGCUAUCCACCUGAUUUCAAGUCUAAGAGAAAGAUACAAGGUGCUUCUUCUGAAAGUUCUAGUCAAGCUCACUUUUCUUAUGGAGGUAAUAAUAAUGUACCUGCACCAGGAUGGUAGAGAAACUUCAUAUAGCACAACUUCAUAUUUAACUUGGUGAAUGUUCAAGUCAUCAUAAACAACAAGCAAGACAAGCUGAGUUGGAGGUCAAGCCGUUGCUUAAAGGAUGUACAUUCACAAGGGACCAAAAUGAUCACAUUCUUAAAAGCUAUCAGCCCAAGAAAGAGCCUAACUACAAAACCACUCUUGCUGCUCAAACUGCAGGAGCUUUACGGUGGGAAAGUGCAGGAGGUUAGUGAAGAGGCAGAGUGCUUCUAUACAAACACACAUGCAGUUGGUCGAAAAGGUAGACCAUUAGCUGUAACUCAAGUUAUUCCUUAUAUAGAGCUAUGACAUCAAAUAUUAGGACAUGUGUCCUCUGUAGUAUAGCUAAGAUCUUUGAUAUGACUAAAUAAAGUCAGUGUCAAGUGUCUAAGUGUCUAGUCUACCCAUAUGAUAAACAGUCUAGACUUAGUUUUCCUUCAAGAAGUAUUAAAAGUAGUGCUUGUUUUGACUUGAUACAUGUUGAUCUGUGGGGUCCCUAUAACACAACUACAUUUGAUGGAAACAAAUAUUUUAUUACUAUUGUUGAUGAUUUUUCAAGAA